Molecule: long non-coding RNA, 1055 nt
Organism: Peromyscus eremicus (cactus mouse)
Lineage: Eukaryota; Metazoa; Chordata; Mammalia; Rodentia; Cricetidae
Exons: 3
Source: RefSeq, a predicted model, not a curated record
ACUAUUUGAUUUGAAGCAGGGUCUAAUAGCCCAGUCUGCCAUGAAACUUGAUAUAUAAUUCAAGCUGGCCUUGAAUUCCUACCUGUACAUCCUGACUACUGGCAUUAUAUUCAUGAGCCACCAAGCCUGGGUUAAUUUUGUUUUAAAUAUCCAUAGCAUUGUGAAAUCAGUAUCUUGCUAUAUGCCUUCAUCAAAGCAUUUCCCAUUUUGUUAUAAUUUAGUUUUUAUAAAUCUCAUUAGGCGUCAAGCUCCCUGAAGAUUGGAAUGGAAAUGCAUUUGCCUAUCAGCAAGAGUUGUAGCUCUGUGCUCUGGAUCUGCAGGCUGUAGGCUAGCUUUCAUAGCUCCACAAGAUGCUAUGCCAGCUUCUAGGGGAGAAAAGCCAUCAAUGAAGCCUGCAUGCUACAAAACCAAUAUGCCACACAAGAUGAGCCACUGGUGUAAUAGUGGCAAGAAGGUUAUGGGAGAAACCAAUCACUUCAGGCCUGGGUCUGGGGUCUGCUUCACAGGAGAAAACUUAUGCAAGAUACUCUAAACCUGGUCAAAAGGUCUCGGGGCAACCCAGACAGUGUCAGUGGUGGACUCCCUCUCGUGGCAUGGGUCUGCAGUUGGAUCAGUCAUUGGUUGGCCAUUUCCAUAUACUCUUUCUCUCAUUUCUAGGAAGAUAUUUCUAGCAGUCAUUCAUCCUCUAGCAUACAUAUGAGCUGGAUAUAAGUUUUACCUUGACUUCUAUAUGUGACAAUCUUCCUCUCUAAUAGGAAAAAAUAAUUCUUCACUUCAAGUAUCCAAAAUUUUCCAUUUUAGGGAAAGACCCAUAAAGUAACGCCAAAAGCUCAGAUUUGCCACAUAGAAGUGUAAUAUCCUAGCUGAAGCUUCAGAUGUGUAAUGAGAGAGCCAUGUUCCCUCUCCCUCUUCUCCUCUAGUCUGCUGUUAAAGCACAGGGGCUCUUCUGCUUAACAUGGUUGCUUCUCUCCAAACACUUGAAGGAGACAAGAGAGGAAUCAAAAUAACUAGAGCUGAAGCAUAGAGAGGAAAAGAAAGUAGACACCAAAUGAACA